Biomphalaria glabrata is the source of this 3030-nucleotide long non-coding RNA. RefSeq lists it as uncharacterized. The transcript is spliced from 4 exons. The record is from RefSeq and is a predicted model, not a curated record. Lineage: Eukaryota; Metazoa; Mollusca; Gastropoda; Planorbidae.
GUUAGGUAACCUCAAUCAAAUGGACAAAGUGAGGUGUAUGUUGGUAUCGUAAAGCAGAUAUUUAACAAAGCAUACAAAAGUGGGAAAGAUCCAUAUCUCGCUAUGCUCGAGUUUAGAAAUACUCCGAUAAGCGGACUGCUUUAUUCGCCAUCACAACUGCUGAUGAGUAGAAGACUCAGGGACAUCAUUCCAACUGAUCCCAAACUAUUGAAACCAUCGGUAGCUGAAAAUGCAGAGACAUUACUCAACGAACGACAGAGGAAAAGCAAAGUGAAAUACGAUUCAAAAGCAAGGUUACCUAAAGACUACUCUGUCGGGGAGAAGGUGAGAGUUCGUCUAGGACAAACAUGGCAGAAAGCAGUCGUCAUUAAGAAACAUCCAUCACCCAGAUCUUACAUCAUAAAGACAAAUGAUGGGAAAACAUACAGACGAAAUCAACGGUUUUUAAACAAGAGCUACGAAGAAGACAUCUCUGGGUACUAUGACACCGACAAAGACAAUGAACAGCAAACUGUUAGAACAAACGAAACAGACAAUUAUAAACCAACAUCUAGAGAACUUGCUGUGCCAGUCAAGACAACCAGAAGUGGUCGAGUUGUCAAAAUUCCUUGUAAAUAUAAGUAUUAAGAACUUUAAAAGGAAGGAUGUGAUAAUAGCUUCAAAAGGAAGGAUGUGCUAAUAUUAGAAGAUAUUACGUCAUUGUUUGUUGUUUAUGUUUUAUGCGAAAGCAAAGAAUCGGACGGAAAUAAAAGUUAUCAUUAUUAAUUAGUAACGUCUACAGUAAAUUAUUAUUAAUCUGUGACAACAGAACAUCAUCUAUUAAAUCAAUAUUAGCCUAUUAAUACAAGUUUGAAGCCGGAAAAGUUUGAUUUCUAUACGAAAUUCUACCCAAGAGAAUGAUCGUAUUUAUGACAGUCACAAUAUCUUGGGCUUGUGCCUACAUUUACAGCCCCUCUCACAUGUUCAUACGUAUGUAACAUGAGAAUGACUUUCUGACGGAAAACUUCUGACUAUUAUGUGGAAAACAUUUUUUUUUUUUUGGUCUACGAAGUUACUAGAUCUAUAUAACAGUUUGAUAACCACUGCCCUGCGUAUUUACCCCGUUUAGAUUUAGCUAAUUAACAAAUUAGCAUCGAAGCUCGAGCUAACCUGGACAGCUUCCGUUUGCCGGUGAUUGUUUAUCGAAACAUUGAAUGCACCUUGUGCGAGUGUCUGGCUAUAGAAUAUCAACACCAACACAUACUGUCACAUAGUGACAUAACAGAUGUUCCUUCAGAGUUGAAAUGAAUGAAGAUAAUCUACUUCCUAGGCGAAAUCUCUGCAAGAUGACGGGGAUGGCAGUGAACAGAUCUGAAGCCAGGGUUUUAUGGCUCUAUAAUAAAAACUAAAAUGUAACUCUUUGAGCUAUUCCAACUUACCUAGAUAACAAUAAGCUGUCAAAUAGUGUACAGGAGACUAACUUUGAAAAUAAAGACCUCUGCUUUAACUUAGGUCAAUCCUUAGCCAAGAUAAAUAAGCAAUAUGCUCCUGCAAAAGGAUAAUAGAUUUUUUCAAAAGAAAUAGAAACUAAUGAAGACUGUUGUGAGGAUGGUGCCAAGUUUGAACAAUGACCGCCAUCAUCCUCCCUGUCCUCCAGUUGUGGUCUUAAACUUUAUAUAUCUAAGAAAAACAAACAGAACCAGACUUUUUAAAUGCUAAAUAACUACCAGGCCUGUACAAUUCAGUAGACAAUUGUCUACUGAAUAUUUUAGGGACUUGAUGGUAAUGUUUUGAAUCAUUCAGUGUGGAAUCAAAUGUAUCAGUGAUAUUCAAACUAUGAUCCAUAGGCCAUAUCCAGCGAGUGACAGGUCUUAACUGGUCACUUGAAAUUCUCGCUAUGCAGAAUGAAGCAGAAAAGACUUAAUUCAUUGAACACCACAAUUUUGUGUGACCUGUGACACACAUAUUGCACACAUGUGGCCCCUAGAGCAAACAAGAUUCAGCACCAUUGUAAUACAUACAGUUUGCAAGCCAACAUAAUUUUUUAUUUGGAUCUGAGAACAUUUAUAAGUAUCUAACACUAUUCAACACUUUCUGACAGCCGAAACUUUGCAAAAUACAUGGUUACAAGGAGUGUUCCUUAAAUGUGUGUAUGUUAAAAUAAAAAAUUGUGCUGUCUCGUGUAUUUCAAUGAAGUGUGAUUUAUCAGUAUUUUGUAACAAGUACUGAGUCUCUGUGUAACUGGUUUCUAAAACUAACAUAAACUAUUUUGCUAAAAAAAAAUAAUUAAAUGUACUUUUUUCCUUUAAGAUAGGACUUUUUUUUUCCUUUUAGUACAAUACUUAUAAUAAUUUUUAUCAUAAUAAAUCAAUACAAUGUGUAUAUAAUUUAGCAUUUGUCUGCCUUUAGAUGUAUAAAAAUGAAUUUUGUAAAGAUUCUUUUUUUUUAAACUAAUUAAAUAAUGAUACUUUUGGAGGUAUUUGGCACUAUAAAUAUCUUUUCAAAUAUAUGAUAUAUGCUUUUUAGAAAAGCAUGUAUAGACUCUUUGCAAGUCAGUGUGGAUUUCGAGCUGGGAGAGACACAUCUGACAUGAUAUUUGUCUAGCAUCAAAUGCAGGAAAAAUGCAGGUAGCUGAUUUGUAUGCCAACUUUAUCGAUCUCAGCAGUGAGAUAUAGUGAGUCACAAUGGCUGGUGGUGAUUUCUAUCUCAGCUCGGAUGCCCUUCAAGAUUCUUUGCUAUUCUGAAGCUACUGCAUGUGGGUCGAAAGGUUAAAUCAGUUUUAAUAGGGACCUGUCAGCUUAUUUCUCUGUAGAGAAUGGUGUGAUGCAAGGUUGUGUGUGUUGAUAAUAUUACCACAUUCUGUAGCUUUAGACAGUAAAGGAAUCCAUCCUAUACCUAAAUUAGGCAACUAUCCUUCAAUGAUGCUUUGCUGGAGUAAAACAUGGCCAGUUAUCCAGCCAGAGCUGGAAAUGAGCUCCUGCGCAAACUUAGUACUCUUAGUGCUAUUGAUGACUAAGAUACAUUGUAGUAUAUAAACUAUGGUAAAUUUAU